Molecule: ribosomal RNA, 1325 nt
Organism: Plasmodium falciparum Dd2
Lineage: Eukaryota; Apicomplexa; Aconoidasida; Haemosporida; Plasmodiidae
Rfam family: Eukaryotic small subunit ribosomal RNA
Source: Rfam
CGAGUUUCUGACCUAUCAGCUUUUGAUGUUAGGGUAUUGGCCUAACAUGGCUAUGACGGGUAACGGGGAAUUAGAGUUCGAUUCCGGAGAGGGAGCCUGAGAAAUAGCUACCACAUCUAAGGAAGGCAGCAGGCGCGUAAAUUACCCAAUUCUAAAGAAGAGAGGUAGUGACAAGAAAUAACAAUGCAAGGCCAAUUUUUGGUUUUGUAAUUGGAAUGGUGGGAAUUUAAAACCUUCCCAGAGUAACAAUUGGAGGGCAAGUCUGGUGCCAGCAGCCGCGGUAAUUCCAGCUCCAAUAGCGUAUAUUAAAAUUGUUGCAGUUAAAACGCUCGUAGUUGAAUUUCAAAGAAUCGAUAUUUUAUUGUAACUAUUCUAGGGGAACUAUUUUAGCUUUUCGCUUUAAUACGCUUCCUCUAUUAUUAUGUUCUUUAAAUAACAAAGAUUCUUUUUAAAAUCCCCACUUUUGCUUUUGCUUUUUGGGGAUUUUGUUACUUUGAGUAAAUUAGAGUGUUCAAAGCAAACAGUUAAAGCAUUUACUGUGUUUGAAUACUAUAGCAUGGAAUAACAAAAUUGAACAAGCUAAAAUUUUUUGUUCUUUUUUCUUAUUUUGGCUUAGUUACGAUUAAUAGGAGUAGCUUGGGGACAUUCGUAUUCAGAUGUCAGAGGUGAAAUUCUUAGAUUUUCUGGAGACGAACAACUGCGAAAGCAUUUGUCUAAAAUACUUCCAUUAAUCAAGAACGAAAGUUAAGGGAGUGAAGACGAUCAGAUACCGUCGUAAUCUUAACCAUAAACUAUGCCGACUAGGUGUUGGAUGAAAGUGUUAAAAAUAAAAGUCAUCUUUCGAGGUGACUUUUAGAUUGCUUCCUUCAGUACCUUAUGAGAAAUCAAAGUCUUUGGGUUCUGGGGCGAGUAUUCGCGCAAGCGAGAAAGUUAAAAGAAUUGACGGAAGGGCACCACCAGGCGGGGAGCUUGCGGCUUAAUUUGACUCAACACGGGGAAACUCACUAGUUUAAGACAGGAGUAGGUUGACAGAUUAAUAGCUCUUUCUUGAUCUCUUGUGGGGAUGCAUGCCGUUUUUAGCCGAAAUAUGAUUGUCUGUUAAUUCCGAAACGAACGAGAUCUUACCUGCUAUUAGCGGAAGCACACUAUAUUCUUAUUUGAAUUGAACAUAGGAACUAUACUUUUUUCAGAAUCAAAUUAGGAUAUUUUAUAAAAUAUCCUUUUCCUGUUCUACUAAAAUUGGUUUUAACUCUAUUUCUCUCUUCUUUAAGAUGACUUGCUUGAUGAAAGUUCUAGAGACCUUGUGGCUAACAAGGAAGUUAAGG